GCUAACAACCACAGUAAAUAGGGAAACACCCGGUAACAUUCCGAACCCGGAAGUUAAGCCAUUUUACGUUGUGCAAUACUGCCCUUGGGUGGGAAUGCACAAUGUUGUUAGUU
Molecule: ribosomal RNA, 113 nt
Filed under: Candidatus Aenigmarchaeota archaeon ex4484_52
Lineage: Archaea; Nanobdellati; Candidatus Aenigmatarchaeota
Source: RNAcentral